UGUGUUUUAGAGAGUUCGGCGAUAGAGUCAAGUAUUGGACUACUGUGAACGAGCCCAAUAUCUUUGCCAUAGGUAGUUAUGAUCAAGCAAUCACCCCACCUCAGCGAUGUUCUCCUCCAUUUUGUGUUAUAGAGAGCACUAAGGGCAACUCAACAUUUGAACCGUACUUGGUAGUUCAUCACGUUUUGUUAGCGCAUUCUUCAGCUGUGAGAUUGUAUAGAAGAAAGUACAGGGUAUAUCACCUAAUCUUUUUUCACACCAGUACUUUUCUUGUAAACUUUUGUUGAUUCCCUAGAGACUAAUUACAUUGCAGGAGGAACAACACGGAUUUGUUGGUAUCUCUCUUUAUACAUUUGGAUUAGUUCCUCACACAAAUACAGAGAAAGACAGGGCAGCGUGUCAACGUAUCCGCGAUUUUUAUCUCGGUUGGUAAGUUUCUAAUUCUAACAUUGAUUGUAAUAUUUUCUCUUCUAAUAUUUUUGGUUACUGUUUAUGACUACACUGUAUAUGGAUAUGACAGUCUCAUCUCUCAUGUUGCAGGAUUAUGGAACCCUUGAUUCGCGGAGAUUAUCCCAAAAUUAUGAAGGCAAAUGCAGGGGCAAGAAUUCCAGCAUUCACAAGUCAUGAAUCCGAACAAGUUAAGGGUUCCUAUGACUUUAUUGGCAUAAUUCACUACACCAAAUUUAAUGUCACAGACAAUUCUGAUGCGCUGAAGUCAAAACUGAGAGAUUUCAUUGCAGACACGGCUGCGACGCUACUCGGUAUGUGUUGUAUUAUGUUUAAGUGUAGUAAAUUUCAAAUAUUAAAGUGAUAUAAACUUGAUGUACUUAUUGCAUUCACCUCAUCUUUUUCAUUAUGAUUCUGAUGUUUUCCGUGGUUUUGCAGGUGUAGAGGCUAUACUUACAGAGGACGAGGUAACGGUUAAAAAACUAGUUAUGAUUAUCAUCGUAAUUAAUUGGUCAAUCACUAGAUUACUUCUAUAUACAAACUAUCUUUAUUGACUUGACUUGACUCAGUACCCUGUCGCACCAUGGGCUUUACGAGAAAUUCUGGAUAUAUUCAAGAUUUUUUAUGGCAAUCCAAUUAUAUUCAUUCAUGAAAAUGGUAUGUUUACUUCUCAUUCAAGAUUUCAUUGAUUACAACAUUCUUUUAGGAAAAUGGUAUAUGGAUGUUGAUAGAGGUUUAAAUUUAAUAGAAUUAAUAAUAAAUUGCGGCCCAAAGGUUUUUCUUUGUCAUAGAAAGACAAAUAACAUUAUCACGAGGUGUAGCCCUGUGGUAAAAGGGUUAGGACGCUGAAAGAGUUUAAGACGGAGGUCCAAGAUUUGAUCCCUGCUGCUAACAUUUCUCUCUCCCCUCUAACAAUAUACUAACUAUACUAACAUUUGCAUGGAAUUGUAAACUUAAGCCUCAAGGGAUUUAACAAUGAUUUUGUGAAACAUUUAUCACGCUUGUUAUCAUUGUUUAAACUAAUGUUUCAUAAGAAGUUCCAAUGGAUUGAAUUAUCGAUAAAAGUCGGGUUUGUCAUGUUAGGCCAACGGACAGCAAGCAAUGCAUCGCUCCAUGACGUAUCAAGGGUGAAAUACUUGCAUGCAUACAUCGGUAGUGUGCUGGAUUCCUUGAGGUAUAUAUGUGAUUGCUACUCCAUCUUACAACAAUUUGAUCUCAAAAAUGUCUUUGAAGCAAGUUAUCAUCUAAUAAAUUAUACGCUAUGCUUUGAUACACCAUCUUAUUUUUUUCAGAAAUGGAUCAAAUAUAAAGGGAUAUUUUGUGUGGUCUUUUAUUGAUUCAUUCGAGUUGCUGGAUGGAUAUAAAUCAAUCUAUGGACUGUACUAUGUCGAUAGGAAUGAUCAAGAGUUGAGAAGAUAUCCAAAGCUCUCUGCAAAAUGGUAUAACCAAUUUUUAAAGGGUACAAGAUCCUCUCUAGUUGGUGCGAUUGAACUCAAGAACGAUCCAUCGCUUGUUUCUGUUGAACUCAAGAAUGAAUAAUUUGUAUGCCUUACCGUGUUGUUACAUAAUGGUGUUUCUUUUGAUAGUUUUUCAGUUUUUUAAGUUAGUUGGUAGUUGUUUGGGUGGUUAAGAAAUCUGUUAGUAAGUAGUCACUCAUUAUUAGAAGUCAUGUGUUGUCUAUUUGGGCAAUGUAGUACUAUAAUUUUCGAACUAAAAACUUAAUUAAUCAUAACUUAAACAACACCUAAAGUUUAUGGCAUAUGAUUGAAUUAAAUUGUGUAAAAAUAUAGCUCUCCGUAGAUAUUAUAAAAAAAAUAGACACGUAUAUUAAUAUAUGAAUAAAAAUAUGUACAUAUAUUAAUACAUUAAACAAAAUGUACGUUAAUUAUUUUCUUUAACUUCUAUAAUUAUGUGAAUGUUUUGUUUUUUUAGCGGAAAAAAUAUAUUAUGAAAAGUUGGCAUUAAUAUAUGUGAACGUUGGCGUUAAUCUUAAUGAAACGUUGGCUAUUAAAUUUUUUCUAAUGUUGGCUAUUCAAUUUUUUUACGAAGUUCCUAGCAAAUCCUUCAAAAGAACAGAGAAGGUAGUAUUGUUUUCAUUCCCCAAAAAAAGAAAAAGAAAGGAUACUCUACCUAGUAGUAGUUUUGUUUGUUUCCCAUUUUAUGCUAAUUUCUUACGGUAUCAUAUACUUAUAGGAAGACUUUAAGAAAAGAAAAAUUAUAAAACAGUAAAACAACUUGUAAUGAUGAAGCCUGAAGGCUUGCAGUGUCAGCUAUCAUGUAUCUGUCAUUUAAAUUCUCUUCCUAAAUAAAGUUUACAUAUUUAAGGUAUAUAUGGGUGAAAUAUAAGUUGAGAAUUAGAUAUGAUUAUAAUUUUAGAUACAAAAAUGAUAUUUGUACACAAUUUUUUGGACAACAAUCAGCGACAACAUAUAAGGAGACCACUUUUGUAACAACAUCAUAUUCAUAAGGGCAAUUUCGCAAAUAUAAAUGUGAAACAUUCUUAAAUCCACGCUUCAUUUUCUUCUUCCUCGCUACUUCUCUCUCCACUGCAACUUUUUCAUUCUCUCGAACCACCAAUCCGGUCAGAUCCGGCAACACCACCACAAUUGUCGCCGACCUCACCACCACUAUGUCUAUCGGUCGUUCUCUCACNNNNNNNGGUUGUUGUGGUGAGGACGGAUGGCGGCGACGAGUGGUGAAUGGUCGAGAAACACAGUGGAGAGAGACGGAAACCAACUAUGGGACAGGUUCCAAACUUCGCCGUGUUCAUCACCCUUUUCUGGGUUUGAUUUGAAGUUGGGAUUUUUUUGACAAAAUAAAAAUGAAUUAAAAUAAACAGAGAGAGAAAAUAAUAUUUUUUUAUUCAUUGUUUGAAAUUGUUGUCAAAUGUUGUCGAAAAUAUGAUGUUAGAAUAUCACUGCUCUUUUGGAUAUGAUUAUAAAUUUUUACUAUAUAUGUAAUUUUUACUAUAUAUUGAUAUUUGUAUUGAUAUGUAAUUUGUAAAUGUGAGUCCAUACUUGAAGGAUGAUGGUUCUUUUAUAUGUCUAAUUCUUCUUUAAAGAAUUCAUAUGUUAAUCAUAUAGAGGAAUUCUUAUUUGGGCACCAAUUAAAGAAAAAAUUAUUUAGUCAUAUACACAUGAUUAAACUAAAUAAAGAAAAAAUGAUUAAAUGAUGUGACAAUAUUAAUUUUUUUUUAAUUUUUUUUAAUUUGUGAGUGUGUGCCUAAAUAAUUUGUUCUUGGGUUUGUGACCAAGUAAGUAUUUUCAAUAUAUAUAUAUAUAGGAACUUUCAAGUGAGAAAUGUUUUAAAAUGAGAGGGUUAGAGGGAUGAAUAAUAACCAUUAGAUUGAAACAAACGGUUGAGAUAUUUUCUCUUAAUCUUUGUGUCGUUGUUUAUUGUAUUUCCAAGCUAUUUUUCAUAAACUUAAAAAUAAACAAUCCAAACGGGCCUUAAAAGAAACAUAUCUAAUUAAAUUCAAACCUCAGUGCAAGUGGUUAAUGUACUUUAUAUAAAGGAGUAGAUUUGGUGUAUCUAAGUUUGAUUUUUGACAAUGGAAAAAUUGAAGUCGGGUCCGGAUUAUUCACUUUGGUCAUCAUACAAUAGUUCACUUUAUUGUAUAUUGAAUUUAAAAAAUGUUGAAGUAAUAAAAAAAGAACACUAAAAGAAUUAAAUUAGUUUUAAUAUUUGCUUCCGUAAUUUCUUAGAACUUUAUAUGUUUAUUUUAAAAUGAUUAAUUUCAUAGUGACAAUCUUUUUCUUUUAUAAGGUUAAAAGGAUAUAUUAAGAAUGUUUAAGAAUAUUUUUUGACUUGUCAACGCAUAUAGAAGAUUUUCUUGACAAGUCAAAUGAUAUGGGAUUGGUAAAUAGACAAAACAUGGAAACAAUAAUAAACCAGCCAUCCUAGAAAGACUUGACACUAUGCUAAACUUGGAGGAUUUGGUUCCCCGAGGUGGAAGUUCAUGACCUUCCUUUCUACAAAUUUGAUCACACACCUUUAUUGACUGAAUUUGAAGCCCAUCCAGAUCUAAUAGGCAUAGAAAAAAAUUUAUAUAUGAAUAGAAAUAUAGGUCACCAUAAAAAUUAUAAAAAUAUAAAAAAAUAAAAUAAGUACGCGCAUCAAUAUAUGAAAAAAGUAGGUACACAUAUUAAUGUAUGAUUAAAAAUAUAUGUCUUCGUAAAAAUUACAACUAUAAAAAAAAUAUAAACUAAUAUAUUAUUGUAGUUGAUUAUUCUAAUAUUUUAUUGAUUUGAAAUAUUGUAAAAAUACAAUUGUGCCCCUUAAAAUAUGUGUCUAAAAAUAAAAAAAUUGAGAAGGGGUAGAUAAGUAAAUUCAUUAGUAUCUUCAUUUAAUAAAUUUAAAAUGAUAUUACAAAAAUAUAAAUUAAGGUAAUAUACAAACCAGUUAAGUGCUCGACUGUUUAUUUCUUAUCCUCUAUGGGAAUGAAGUUCGGUAUUGUCUUUUUUUUCACACACCUAAAAAAUGGAACCACACAAUUGUUUGAUCCUAAAAAAUGAAUACCAGAAAACAUAGAAGAUGGACCAAGCAAAAUAUGUGAUCCUUGUUUUCUUUUUGCUUCUAAACCUGGCUGUAGCUUUAGGAGUGUUGUUGAGUAAUAAUGAUGAUGAUAACUAUAGCAGAUAUGAUUUCCCAAAUGAGUUUGUUUUUGGGUCAGGCACAUCUGCUUAUCAGGUAGAAGGAGCUGCUAAUGAAGAUGGAAGAACUCCUAGCAUUUGGGAUACCUUUGCUCAUGCUGGUUAGUUCUUUUCUUGUUUUUCUUGUUAUCAUUUUUGGAAUUUUUUAUGAUAUGUAUUUUAAUUUUUUUUAUGAUAUGUAUUUAAUAUUUUUGAGAAAAAACUCAAGUUUCACAUUAAGGCCUAAAAAGGUUUGUCUGAAUAUAUGUUUAUAAAAUAAAGACAAUUUUCACCUUGCAGACCGAUUUUGUAUGGUUGACUUAGGCCUAACUCUCAAUUCUAAGAUGGUAUUAGAACCUCUUCCACAAUCCGCUGACCCGUUGCAAUCAGGUUUCUGAUCAGGUCAUCCACCAUUUAUAUCCGCACCCCCAAUGGUGUUAGGUGCGAAGAGUUUAUAAAGAGUGACACUCAUUUGUAUGUUUAAAAAUGUCAGUGAGAAAUUAAACUAUCAUUAUAUGAAAUGAAACUAUAAUUGUUGAUGCAAAACCAUUGAUAUGUCUUAAGUUAUAAGCUUUUGGAAUAGUCCAAAACCAAUUCACAUUAAUUGAGCAUAGUAAUGUACAAUUUAACUAUAUCAUUCACAUUAAUUGAGCAUUAUAAACCAAUUCUCAUACUUUCAUCUAAAAUUUUCUUAUAAAAAGGGUUUGCGCACGGAGGAAACGGAGAUGUAGCAUGUGACGUGUACCACAAAUACAAGGUAAACAAUACACAAAGCUUCUAUCUGUCUAAUUUUUCCCAGUGAUACAUUUUUUAAUAUGAUUCAUCUGUUCAUGCAGGAAGAUGUGCAGCUCAUGGUUGAAACAGGCCUUGAAGCCUUUCGAUUUUCCAUUUCUUGGUCAAGAUUGAUACCAAGUAUUCUGCUCAACUUAAACUUUAUAGUAUAAGUGCGGUGAAUUUUAGAUUUCUUUUAUUUCUUUCUGGAGUAAAGAAUGAAUGUCUUUGAAAAUGCUUUUAUUUAAACUCAGAUGGGAGAGGACCUGUCAACCCGAAGGGAUUGCAGUACUACAACAAUCUCAUCAAUGAACUCAUUAACAAUGGUUAGAUACGAGUUUUCUUAAUUCAAUUUAAGUUAAAGCAUGCCUUAAUUAAGAUUUCAUUCAAAAUUUAUAAACAUGAAAAGAAUUAUAUUUGUUUAAGUAAAUACAAGUCUUUCCCUUAUGCAGGAAUCGAACCACAUGUCACUCUACACAACUAUGAUCUCCCACAAGCACUUGAGGAUGAAUAUGGAGGAUGGCUUAGUCGUGAUGUCAUGUAUGUUCUGUGCAACUAUAGUGUAUUCCCUCCGUGACACUUUAUAAGCAAAAUUAUGCAUUAUAAUGUAUAAAAUUAUGUGUGGUACUAUGUGAUUGAUGCUUGAAAUAAGACUCUUUUCGUUAAUCAUUAGUUCCCUAAAGUUGGUCACUAUGUGGUUAAUUAUCUUAAUUCGAGUUUAUAGUUAAUAUUAUGAUUCUCCUUGCCUCACUUGCUUGUAUGAUAUUUUGUCAAACACACUUCAAUGCUUUGAAGAUUUCUUAUUCUAAAAAAUGUAUUUAUUAUGAAGAAAUAUCCUUAUAUUGCAACUUUUGACAGAAAUGAGAAUUAUGACUUGAAUGUCAAUGCAGAAAAGACUUCACAAACUACGCAGAUGUGUGUUUUAGAGAGUUCGGCGAUAGAGUCAAGUAUUGGACUACUGUGAACGAGCCCAAUAUCUUUGCCUUAGGUAGUUAUGAUCAAGGAAUCACCCCACCUCAGCGAUGUUCUCCUCCAUUUUGUAUUAUAGAGAGCACUAAGGGCAACUCAACAUUUGAACCAUACUUGGUAGUUCAUCAUAUUUUGUUAGCACAUUCUUCAGCUGUGAGAUUGUAUAGAAGAGAGUACACGGUAUAUGCCUAAUCUUUUUUCACACCAG
RNAcentral lists this long non-coding RNA (7026 nucleotides) under Trifolium pratense (red clover). Its description in RNAcentral is "long non-coding RNA (TPRA_LNC000191)". Lineage: Eukaryota; Viridiplantae; Streptophyta; Magnoliopsida; Fabales; Fabaceae. The record is from RNAcentral.